ACGCUGGCUACAGGCUUAACACAUGCAAGUCGAGGGGAAAUGACGGGGAAGCUUGCUUCCCCGGGCGUCGACCGGCGCACGGGUGAGUAACGCGUAUCCAACCUGCCUCUGACUGAGGGAUAACCCGUCGAAAGUCGGCCUAAUACCUCAUGGCAUCGUCUGCGGGCAUCCAACGACGAUUAAAGAUUUCAUCGGUCAGGGAUGGGGAUGCGUCUGAUUAGCUUGUUGGCGGGGUAACGGCCCACCAAGGCGACGAUCAGUAGGGGUUCUGAGAGGAAGGUCCCCCACAUUGGAACUGAGACACGGUCCAAACUCCUACGGGAGGCAGCAGUGAGGAAUAUUGGUCAAUGGGCGAAAGCCUGAACCAGCCAAGUAGCGUGCAGGAUGACGGCCCUAUGGGUUGUAAACUGCUUUUAUGCGGGGAUAAAGUGAGGGACGUGUCCAUCAUUGCAGGUACCGCAUGAAUAAGGACCGGCUAAUUCCGUGCCAGCAGCCGCGGUAAUACGGAAGGUCCGGGCGUUAUCCGGAUUUAUUGGGUUUAAAGGGAGCGUAGGCCGUGGAUUAAGCGUGUUGUGAAAUGCAGGUGCUCAACGUCUGCACUGCAGCGCGAACUGGUCCACUUGAGUGUGCGCAACGCAGGCGGAAUUCGUCGUGUAGCGGUGAAAUGCUUAGAUAUGACGAAGAACUCCGAUUGCGAAGGCAGCUUGCGGGAGCACAACUGACGCUGAAGCUCGAAAGUGCGGGUAUCGAACAGGAUUAGAUACCCUGGUAGUCCGCACGGUAAACGAUGGAUGCCCGUUGUCAGGCUGUUUCAGCCUGGUGACCAAGCGAAAGCAUUAAGCAUCCCACCUGGGGAGUACGCCGGCAACGGUGAAACUCAAGGAAUUGACGGGGGCCCGCACAAGCGGAG
This 910-nucleotide ribosomal RNA is filed under the name uncultured bacterium. RNAcentral describes it as "bacterial SSU rRNA". It matches the Rfam family "Bacterial small subunit ribosomal RNA", at positions 33 to 934 of the family's 1533-position model. The record is from RNAcentral.